GGUAGGUGGCUUAGUGGUAGAGUGCUUGCUUUGCAUGCAUGAAGGCCUGGGUUUGAUUCCUCAGUACCA
RNAcentral lists this transfer RNA (69 nucleotides) under Dipodomys ordii (Ord's kangaroo rat). It matches the Rfam family "tRNA". From Rfam's summary of the family: Transfer RNA (tRNA) molecules are approximately 80 nucleotides in length. Their secondary structure includes four short double-helical elements and three loops (D, anti-codon, and T loops). The record is from Rfam by way of RNAcentral. Lineage: Eukaryota; Metazoa; Chordata; Mammalia; Rodentia; Heteromyidae.